Long non-coding RNA from Daucus carota subsp. sativus, 1410 nucleotides. RefSeq lists it as uncharacterized. The record is from RefSeq and is a predicted model, not a curated record. The transcript has 2 exons. NCBI's taxonomy places the organism in Eukaryota, Viridiplantae, Streptophyta, Magnoliopsida, Apiales, Apiaceae.
UCAAAUAUAAAGUAGCUAGUGGGUUCUCUCUUUCUAAAAUUUUCUUUCUGUCCCACCCUUCUCUUGUUUAUUCUUUGUUUAUCACAAUAACAAACUCAUUAUUGAAAUGCUACAAAAUUUGAAAUUGUCUUGCUAGUUUACUAAAACCUAGAUAUAUACAGCCUGUCACCAGAUCUUGCCAACAAAACCUAAUAGCCUGUAUCCAUAUCUUCUCUUCACAUCUAUAUAUAGCAGCAAGCUUGGAGAAGGGAAAAGAAACAAGAUAUCUCAGUUUGAGAAAGUAGAAGCUAAUAGCAAGCGAAAACACAUGGGUUGAGGGGAAUGUUGUCCGGCUCGAUGCUGCAAACUUAGCUAAUACAAUGUUGUCAAGUGACCGCUAAUUAUGUAAUUAGUCGGGUUGAUAGCUAAGUUUGUGUCAUCGGACCAGGCUUCAUUCCCCCCAACCAGUUUCUCGUGAGCUAGCUAAAUAUGCAUAUAUAUAUAUAUAUGUAAUUAAGUAUGUAGCACAAUACAUUUGUAGGUUUGUCUUAUAUAUCAUAUGUGUGUGCAGGCACCCAUUUGGUGAUACAUGUAUAAUAUAUAUCUUCAUACACACACACAUAUCAACAUGUGGAUGAUUCGAGAUGAUUUAGGAAAUCAUGAAUAUAUUGAUUGGUUUCCCUGCAGCAACUGCAAGCUUUAAGGGAGUAGAGGACACAAAUAUUGGAGUAAUGAUGGAUAGAUGAAUGCAAGAUCCUCCUUUUCUAGAGACAAAGGUAGCUAGAAUGAAAAACACAGAAAUUUGAGAUUAAUAGACAAGAAAGGGGAAUGAAGCAACGUCUGCAAUAAAUUUAGAUCCGAUGACAUUAGUUAAAACGAUAUUGUUUGUGUAUCUGAAUUAAUUUGCACUUGCUAGGCAUAUAUGCUAGUAGAUUGUCAUGAAUAACCUGAUAUUAGUGUGACUAGCUCCACUGAUUUUCAUAAUUUUCAAAGCCUUAAAGAUAGUUGUGUCAUAUAUCAUGUGCUUAGUACAACCACUAGCUAUCGAUAAGUCAAGAUUCCAAAGAGCUCCGCUUUGAAAAAAAAGAAGGUCGGUUGUCACAAAAAUCUGGUCUUAGCAUUGCUGCGGCUAUUUUAGAAAUUUAGCUUUUACAAAAUUUGGCUUCAGGCUCCAGCUGAUCAUUGAGCUUACUGCACUUUCUGUAAAUGAAGGAUGGCAAUUUCUGAUGCAAUGAUGGCAAAGAUAGAUGCUAAGAUAAUCGUUACUCAUCUAAUUAUAUAUUCCCCGAGGCUAGAAAUGUAUUUGAUUCUCUGCUAUCACUUGAUCUAGUUUCAUAUGCAUUAUAAUUCCUUCACUACAUCUUCGCUUGGAAGUGUCUUUGUUACUCUUUUAUGCAUCUUUAAAGUAACUUUUCACAUUCCAGAUUAUAA